GAUGAAGAACGUAGCGAAAUGCGAUACUUGGUGUGAAUUGCAGAAUCCCGUGAACCAUCGAGUCUUUGAAUGCAAGUUGCGCCCGAAGCCAUCUGGUUGAGGGCACGUCUGCCUGGGCAUCACAUAUCGUUGCCCAAUGCCUAUUGCAAUGCAAUAGGAAUUUCUAGGGCGAAUGAUGGCUUCCCGUGAGCGUUGUUGCCUCGCGGUUGGUUGAAAAUCGAGUCCUUGGUAGGGUGUGCCAUGGUAGAUGAUGGUGGUCGAGUUAGAACGAUACCGAUCAUGUGCAUGCUCCCCAAAAUAUGGCCUCUAUGACCCACACGCGUCUUUUGACGCUCAUGACGAGACCUCAGGUCAAGCGGGGCUACCCACUGAAUUUAAGCAUAUCAAUAAGCGGAGGA
Molecule: unclassified non-coding RNA, 398 nt
Filed under: soil metagenome
Description: partial contains 5.8S ribosomal RNA, internal transcribed spacer 2, and large subunit ribosomal RNA
Rfam family: 5.8S ribosomal RNA (bases 1-122)
Source: RNAcentral